GGGUCGAUGCCCGAGUGGUUUAUGGGGGCGGAUUGUAAAUCCGCUGAUGAAAGUCAACGCUGGUUCAAAUCCAGCUACGGACCCA
Molecule: transfer RNA, 85 nt
Filed under: Coccomyxa sp. SUA001
Lineage: Eukaryota; Viridiplantae; Chlorophyta; Trebouxiophyceae; Coccomyxaceae
Description: tRNA-Tyr
Rfam family: tRNA (bases 7-76)
About the family: Transfer RNA (tRNA) molecules are approximately 80 nucleotides in length.
Source: RNAcentral